Long non-coding RNA from Salvia miltiorrhiza (redroot sage), 800 nucleotides. RefSeq lists it as uncharacterized. The record is from RefSeq and is a predicted model, not a curated record. Lineage: Eukaryota; Viridiplantae; Streptophyta; Magnoliopsida; Lamiales; Lamiaceae. The transcript has 3 exons.
GUUGAUAAGAUACUUGGAUGGAUUUCAUUUAGACAAGCUGAUAAGAUACUUGGAGGUAUAAACUUUCCUCUACAACUGAGAAGGUUAACCUUGAGUGGUUGGAAGCUUCCUUCGAGUGAUAUGUCAAUCGUUGGUUCAUUACCUAAUCUUCAAGUGCUUAAACUAAGAAAUUUCAAAAGGAUAGACUGGGUAACAUCUAAUGGAGAAUUUCGUGAGCUCAGACUUCUGCUAACCGAUCAAUCCGAUUUGGUUUUUUGGAUAACAAAAGCUAGCCACUUCCUGAGACUCGAGUGCCUAAUGCUUCAUGGGUGUCUUGGUCUACCUGAGAUUCCAAGUAAUAUUUUAUUAUCGGCAGAAAAGAUACAAAAGAAACAAUGGGAUUCAGGAAAGUGUACCUUUCUAGUUCGUGUGAAGCGUUCCUGAUAUAUAUGCUGCUCUUUCAAAUCCAGAGCGGUUUUCAAGUAUCUGCAAUCGGCAUUUACUAAAGAGGCAGAGUGCGGAAGGAAUGCUCUCUCGUUGGAUAACCUCUUAAUUGGCAAAUCACGCAAGGGAGCAUCGAGGAUGUUUUCUGAAACACUGGUCCUGAAAACAAGAGACUGCAUCCGUGUGGAAGAGCGGAUUCCAUUUGGCGAUAUUAACGUAAGACCACGAAAAAGGCUGAUGAAAUCCGAGUUCUAAACCACAUCUGUGCGUGCUGGAAAGUUUCAGAAACAUAUUCAGGAAUGCAGGAGCUCAGCCUCUCGUGCUUUCUCUCUCUCUCUCUCUCCAUAUGAUGCUUUCAGAGAUGGUUAGCUGGCUAA